This 418-nucleotide long non-coding RNA is filed under the name Heterocephalus glaber (naked mole-rat). RNAcentral describes it as "lncRNA (ENSHGLG00100035804.1)". Lineage: Eukaryota; Metazoa; Chordata; Mammalia; Rodentia; Bathyergidae. The record is from RNAcentral.
AGGAAAUAUUACUCAGCAUCCUAUAUUUUCAUUUACUACCUCAGGGGAUCCUAGUUCCUGGGGCAAAGACCCUGGUCCUAUGACCAGAGAAACAGUAAAGUCACAGCAUGGGCCCAGGCUUGCCCCUGGAUUGGACUCUGAUUCUGACAUAUACAGAUAUUUGAUGCCAAGUCACAAAGGCCUGGGACUGCAGGAGGAGGAGAACAUUUUAUCACAGAUAUACAAAAACAAGAUUGAUUUUCUGUGUAAGAAUUCUACUAAGAAUUCUAGGAAGAAGAGUUUCCCAGGAUGCUGGUAAAAGUUCCCUGGAGACUUUGGGAACAUAAAAUAUCUGGCCAUAAGAGGUAUCAAAAAAACCCCAAAGAUAACAGGUACAAAAAUCACACCCGAAAGUCAUAGGAUUAUGUUGGGAAUGGAC